RNAcentral lists this transfer RNA (535 nucleotides) under uncultured Prochlorococcus sp. RNAcentral describes it as "partial 16S-23S ribosomal RNA intergenic spacer". The stretch from base 212 to 284 matches the Rfam family "tRNA". Lineage: Bacteria; Bacillati; Cyanobacteriota; Cyanophyceae; Synechococcales; Prochlorococcaceae. The record is from RNAcentral.
CAGGGAGACAACAAAAUGUUUAAUAUUAUUAUUUUGUCACCUUAGGUCGAUCGGUAUCUCACGUUUUUAAUUUAUUAAGAAUUUCAUUUCCUAAGUUUUUCUAGGUCACACCCAUUAUUUUUCCUGGGCCAUUAGCUCAGGUGGUUAGAGCGCACCCCUGAUAAGGGUGAGGUCCCUGGUUCAAGUCCAGGAUGGCCCAUAUCUCUAUGUUGGGGGUAUAGCUCAGUUGGUAGAGCGCCUGCUUUGCAAGCAGGAUGUCAGCGGUUCGAGUCCGCUUACCUCCACUGAUUACCACCUCUUCCAUAUAGCUGAAGGGAAUAGUUUGAAGUGUAAUCUAAUUCUGAACGAAUCUAGCUUCCUAAUUUUUUUUAAGAUGCUGGACUCAUUGAAUUUAUUCAUUGUUUUCAGAGAACCUUGACAACUGCAUAGAUUAUUUAUAAAGACAAUAAGCAUUUUUAAUGAUGCAGAUUUAUUAUUUGUGCGAAUGCAUUAAUAACAAUUCUAUUAAGCUGAUGCUUCAAUUUUUGAAGUUAUU